RNAcentral lists this ribosomal RNA (253 nucleotides) under uncultured bacterium. Its description in RNAcentral is "partial 16S ribosomal RNA". It matches the Rfam family "Bacterial small subunit ribosomal RNA", at positions 524 to 776 of the family's 1533-position model. The record is from RNAcentral.
UACGAAGGACCCAAGCGUUAUCCGGAUUUAUUGGGUUUAAAGGGUGCGUAGGCGGAUUGUUAAGUCAGUGGUGAAAGCUCCGAGCCCAACUCGGAAACUGCCAUUGAUACUGAUGAUCUUGAGUACAUUUGAGGUGGGCGGAAUGUGUCAUGUAGCGGUGAAAUGCUUAGAGAUGACACAGAACACCGAUUGCGAAGGCAGCUCACUAAACUGUAACUGACGCUGAGGCACGAAAGCGUGGGGAGCAAACAGG